UUUAUUUAUCGUUAUUGAUUGUAUAUAUCCUAAUUGUAUAAUCAAAUCUGUAAACACAACAAUGCUUUCAACAUAUUUAUCCGACUAUUUAAUUGUCCGAGGUAUCUUGACGUUCGCGCGCGUUCCCAAGGUAAACAUGCCACACCCAUCAUGCCGCUUGUUACAUUUACUCAGUACCAAGAAGUGAAUUUGUUUAUUGAAAACUUAGAGCGGGAUACAACAUCACGAUAUAUCACACGAAGAAUAAGUAACAAAAGACACUUCAGUUUGCGACCAAGUGACUCAAAAGGAAGGCCAUUAUGAUUUAAGAAAACAUCCAUUAAAGGUAUGAAUUUUGUGAUGCAGGAUCAGUACAUGACAGUACCACUGUCAUGAUCGUGUGCAGGAUUGGACAAAACAAGAUGACAGACGGCAGAUCCAAAGAAAGAUCCAGUCAGGAGCGGACUUCAUUAAGCUUAAAAGUUGCAAGUGGAUGAAGUGUGUUCUAUUUUAUGUCUCCUACUAAAAUCAUGGUUUUGACAAACCCAAAAGAGCACGUAGAGCAAGGAACUAUCAGUAAGCCGGAAGAGCCAGCUCGAAAAUCUUUAAGUGUUUGAGAAUUUUACCGCGCACAUGAAUCUAAAGUUCUGCCACACGUUAGAAGGAGCCCUGUUCUCGAAGAUCAACAUGUUGGAACGUCUUCAUUUUGCAGAAGCAAAUACAUUUAUAUUGUAUAUACACAUGUAGACUAUGUUCGAUUCCCAACCACUUAACAUUUGUGAUAUCUGCAUGGAAUUAUUAAAACUGAGCAUGGUUUGACGUAUAAUGAUUUCUUCAGGUAUGAUGGUUUACAUUUCAUAAAGCUGUUCAAUGACAAUAAAGACAAUAAGAUGU
Long non-coding RNA from Ostrea edulis (European flat oyster), 873 nucleotides. RefSeq lists it as uncharacterized. Lineage: Eukaryota; Metazoa; Mollusca; Bivalvia; Ostreida; Ostreidae. The record is from RefSeq and is a predicted model, not a curated record. The transcript has 3 exons.